GAUGAAGAACGCAGCGAAACGCGAUAGGUAAUGUGAAUUGCAGAAUUCCGUGAAUCAUCGAAUCUUUGAACGCACAUUGCGCCCGCCAGUAUUCUGGCGGGCAUGCCUGUUCGAGCGUCAUUACAACCCUCAGGCCCCCGGGCCUGGCGUUGGGGAUCGGCGGAGCCCCCCGUGGGCACACGCCGUCCCCCAAAUGCAGUGGCGGUCCCGCCGCAGCUUCCAUCGCGUAGUAGCUAACACCUCGCGACUGGAGAGCGGCGCGGCCACGCCGUAAAACACCCAACUCUUCUGAAGUUGACCUCGAAUCAGGUAGGAAUACCCGCUGAACUUAAGCAUAUCAAUAAGCGGAGGA
RNAcentral lists this unclassified non-coding RNA (352 nucleotides) under soil metagenome. RNAcentral describes it as "partial contains 5.8S ribosomal RNA, internal transcribed spacer 2, and large subunit ribosomal RNA". The stretch from base 1 to 120 matches the Rfam family "5.8S ribosomal RNA", at positions 35 to 154 of the family's 154-position model. The record is from RNAcentral.